Molecule: long non-coding RNA, 428 nt
Organism: Mus musculus (house mouse)
Lineage: Eukaryota; Metazoa; Chordata; Mammalia; Rodentia; Muridae
Product: predicted gene 29018
Exons: 3
Source: RefSeq, a predicted model, not a curated record
CUCUUCCUAGGCGAGAUCUAGAACAUUAGUGAAGUAACUAGAGCUCCCACAAGUGCAGCUGCUUUCAAGUCAGCAGUCAACACUCUCCGUUGCUAGCUGUUUUAAUUUCACUAGCCUUCAUCUCACACCAUCUCAUCUUCAUGGCUUCAAGGAAUUCUGGGACAAGACACACUUACUACUUCAUUACUUCAUCUAUCGUGCCAUUCUUGCAGAAUCUGGUGAUAGAAGGACUUUAUCAUAUAAAAAGACUCAGGAACCCCACAGCCCCAUGAUUACUGCCAUCAGCACACCCAGGCAUAGUGGGAAAAGUGCCCAUAUAGAAGACUGAAGAGUUCUUUGUGGCGUUGGGAUGGCAACUCGGUAGUAAAAUGCUUGCCUCACAGCACAAGAGUGUUAAUUCAGUCCUCAAACCCCAAUAAAAAUUCUGG